RNAcentral lists this ribosomal RNA (449 nucleotides) under uncultured bacterium. Its description in RNAcentral is "bacterial SSU rRNA". It matches the Rfam family "Bacterial small subunit ribosomal RNA", at positions 355 to 796 of the family's 1533-position model. The record is from RNAcentral.
UGGGGAAUAUUGGACAAUGGGCGCAAGCCUGAUCCAGCAAUGCCGCGUGUGUGAAGAAGGCCUGCGGGUUGUAAAGCACUUUCAGUGGGGAGAAAGAGCUCUGUCUUAAUACGGCGGAGGGAUGAUGUUACCCACAGAAGAAGCACCGGCUAACUCUGUGCCAGCAGCCGCGGUAAUACAGAGGGUGCGAGCGUUAAUCGGAAUUACUGGGCGUAAAGGGUGCGUAGGUGGUUAAAUAAGUCAGAUGUGAAAUUCCUGAGCUCAACUUGGGGACUGCGUCUGAUACUGUUUGACUAGAGUACUGUAGAGGGAGGUGGAAUUUCCGGUGUAGCGGUGAAAUGCGUAGAUAUCGGAAGGAACAUCAGUGGCGAAGGCGACCUCCUGGACAGAUACUGACACUGAGGCACGAAAGCGUGGGGAGCAAACAGGAUUAGAUACCCGGGUAGUCC